ACNGGGAUUGCCUUAGUAACGGCGAGUGAAGCGGCAACAGCUCAAAUUUGAAAUCUGGCGCUUUCAGCGUCCGAGUUGUACUUUGCAGAAGGCGCUUUGGCGUUGGCAGNGGUCCAAGUUCCUUGGAACAGGUCGUCACAGAGGGUGAGAAUCCCGUACGUGGCCGCGUGUCUUCGCCGUGUAAAGCCCCUUCGACGAGUCGAGUUGUUUGGGAAUGCAGCUCUAAAUGGGAGGUAAAUUUCUUCUAAAGCUAAAUACUGGCCAGAGACCGAUAGCGCACAAGUAGAGUGAUCGAAGGAUGAAAAGCACUUUGGAAAGAGAGUCAAACAGCACGUGAAAUUGUUGAAAGGGAAGCGCUU
RNAcentral lists this ribosomal RNA (359 nucleotides) under uncultured fungus. RNAcentral describes it as "LSU rRNA". It matches the Rfam family "Eukaryotic large subunit ribosomal RNA", at positions 68 to 424 of the family's 3401-position model. The record is from RNAcentral. Lineage: Eukaryota; Fungi.